Molecule: ribosomal RNA, 346 nt
Filed under: uncultured bacterium
Lineage: Bacteria
Description: bacterial SSU rRNA
Rfam family: Bacterial small subunit ribosomal RNA
Source: RNAcentral
AGAGUUUGAUCCUGGCUCAGGACGAACGCUGGCGGCGCGCCUAACACAUGCAAGUCGAACGAGCGAGAGAGCUUGCUUUCUCGAGCGAGUGGCGAACGGGUGAGUAACGCGUGAGGAACCUGCCUCAAAGAGGGGGACAACAGUUGGAAACGACUGCUAAUACCGCAUAAGCCCACGGGUCGGCAUCGACCAGAGGGAAAAGGAGCGAUCCGCUUUGAGAUGGCCUCGCGUCCGAUUAGCUAGUUGGUGAGGUAACGGCCCACCAAGGCGACGAUCGGUAGCCGGACUGAGAGGUUGAACGGCCACAUUGGGGACUGAGACACGGCCCAGACUCCUACGGGAGGCA